GAUGAAUGCUGGCGGCGUGGAUAAGGCAUGCAAGUCGCACGGCCCCAUACCAAAUUUUGGUGAGGGGCAGUGGCGAACGGGUUAGUAGCACGUAGAUACCUACCCUCAAGUCUAGCAUAAUCCCGCGAAAGCGGGACUAAUACUAGAGGUCUCGCAAGAGUAAAGCUCCGGCGCUUGAGGAAGGGUCUGCGGCCUAUCAGCUUGUUGGUGGGGUAAUGGCUCACCAAGGCGAUGACGGGUAGGGGACAUGAGAGUGUGUUCCCCAACAGGGAAACUGAGACACGGUUCCCACUCCUACGGGAGGCAGCAGUCGAGAAUCUUCGGCAAUGGGCGCAAGCCUGACCGAGCGACGCCGCGUGUUCGAUGAAGCCCUUCGGGGUGUAAAGAACUUUUAUGGAGGAAGAACCUUCGGGUGACAGUACUCCAUGAAUAAGGGGCCGCUAAACUCGUGCCAGCAGCGGCGGUAAUACGAGUGCCCCGAGCAUUAUCCGGAUUUAUUGGGCGUAAAGAGCCUUAAGGCGGUUAAGAAAGUUUCCUGUCAAAUUCUGGGGCUUAACCUCAAGAGCGCGGGAGAUACUACUUUACUAGAGGGCGUUAGAGGCCAGCGGAACGGCCGGUGUAGGGGUGAAAUCCGAUGAUAUCGGCCGGAACACCAAAAGCGAAGGCAGCUGGCUGGGGCGACCCUGACGCUGAUUGGCGAAAGCGUGGGGAGCAAAAAGGAUUAGAUACCCUUGUAGUCCACGCUGUAAACGAUGGACGCUGGCUGGUGGAAGUGUCGACCCUUUCACCGGCGAAGGUAACCCGUUAAGCGUCCCGCCUGGGAAGACGAUGGCAACGUU
RNAcentral lists this ribosomal RNA (839 nucleotides) under uncultured bacterium. RNAcentral's name for it is "bacterial SSU rRNA". It matches the Rfam family "Bacterial small subunit ribosomal RNA", at positions 28 to 895 of the family's 1533-position model. The record is from RNAcentral.